This 319-nucleotide long non-coding RNA is filed under the name Ananas comosus (pineapple). Its description in RNAcentral is "long non-coding RNA (ACOM_LNC018057)". The record is from RNAcentral. Lineage: Eukaryota; Viridiplantae; Streptophyta; Magnoliopsida; Poales; Bromeliaceae.
UUCUAACAAAAUUCAAUUAAUUUGGAUAUCUUUACGCCGUUAAACGAGAAAACGCCUCAUAUCGACCAUUAAAAUUACAAAUUUUGAAACCCUUUGAUCAUUAGGCAAAUGAUGUCGAAAAGGUUUGAAAUUUGAUUUCUAAAUACUUCAAAUAGUAUAGAUCAUGUUCAACGGAGCCGAUCGUCAAUUUGGAAGUUCUAUCAUCGAAAAUAAAUCAGUAGUAAAACGGCUCGUUUACUACCGAUAGUAUUCUAGCUCAACUCUCUCUCUCUCUCUCUCUCUCUCUCUCUAUAUAUAUAUAUAUAUAUAUGAGAACGUC